RNAcentral lists this unclassified non-coding RNA (313 nucleotides) under fungal sp. Its description in RNAcentral is "partial internal transcribed spacer region". The stretch from base 1 to 46 matches the Rfam family "Eukaryotic small subunit ribosomal RNA", at positions 1786 to 1831 of the family's 1831-position model. Lineage: Eukaryota; Fungi. The record is from RNAcentral.
AAGUCGUAACAAGGUUUCCGUAGGUGAACCUGCGGAAGGAUCAUUAACACUUUUAUCCAAUAUGAAAACUAAACGUGAACUUUUCCCCUCCCUAUAUCGUACACUUGUGGUUGAUAUAGGCUAACAUUUAUUUAAUUUUCCAACCACUUUUUAACUUUUAUAAGUCUUUGUGAGCUGACGCUUACAAGAAAGGACUGACUAACUAAAAAUUUUAUUUAAGAUGUCACCUGUUGAUCUCUUGAUUAAUAUUUUUCUUUACGAAAUAAAUAUUAGUAUAUAAGAACAACUCUUAGCAAUGGAUAUCUUGGUUCUC